Molecule: non-coding RNA, 165 nt
Organism: Psychromonas ingrahamii 37
Lineage: Bacteria; Pseudomonadati; Pseudomonadota; Gammaproteobacteria; Alteromonadales; Psychromonadaceae
Source: Rfam
CUAGGCAAUUUCCGUACGUUUUUCUUGUCUGAGAAAUCACUUUAGCAAAGGAAAUCAUGGAUGAUUUCAUUAGGCUCGGCUCUGCACAUGGAUGUGCUGUCCGAGCCGGUGCGUUAAGAAGUUAUUGAGCAGACAAGAAUAAAAAACGUCUCGGAACGGCAUUCU